This 492-nucleotide ribosomal RNA is filed under the name uncultured bacterium. RNAcentral describes it as "partial 16S ribosomal RNA". It matches the Rfam family "Bacterial small subunit ribosomal RNA", at positions 29 to 507 of the family's 1533-position model. The record is from RNAcentral.
AGUGAACGCUGGCGGUAGGCCUAACACAUGCAAGUCGAACGGCAGCACAGUAAGAGCUUGCUCUUACGGGUGGCGAGUGGCGGACGGGUGAGAAAUACAUCGGAAUCUACUUUUUCGUGGGGGAUAACGUAGGGAAACUUACGCUAAUACCGCAUACGACCUACGGGUGAAAGCAGGGGAUCUUCGGACCUUGCGCGAUUGAAUGAGCCGAUGUCGGAUUAGCUAGUUGGCGGGGUAAAGGCCCACCAAGGCGACGAUCCGUAGCUGGUCUGAGAGGAUGAUCAGCCACACUGGAACUGAGACACGGUCCAGACUCCUACGGGAGGCAGCAGUGGGGAAUAUUGGACAAUGGGCGCAAGCCUGAUCCAGCCAUACCGCGUGGGUGAAGAAGGCCUACGGGUUGUAAAGCCCUUUUGUUGGGAAAGAAAAGCAGCAGGUUAAUACCCCGCUGUUCUGACGGUACCCAAAGAAUAAGCACCGGCUAACUUCGUG